RNAcentral lists this ribosomal RNA (463 nucleotides) under uncultured anaerobic ammonium-oxidizing bacterium. RNAcentral describes it as "bacterial SSU rRNA". It matches the Rfam family "Bacterial small subunit ribosomal RNA", at positions 366 to 819 of the family's 1533-position model. The record is from RNAcentral.
UCGCAAUGCCCGAAAGGGUGACGAAGCGACGCCGCGUGUGGGAAGAAGGCCUUCGGGUUGUAAACCACUGUCGGGAGUUAGGAAAUGUAAGGGUGCUAAUAGUAUCCUUGCUUGACUAAGGCUCCGGAGGAAGCCACGGCUAACUCUGUGCCAGCAGCCGCGGUAAUACAGAGGCGGCAAGCGUUGUUCGGAAUUAUUGGGCGUAAAGAGCACGUAGGCGGCCUUGUAAGUCAGUUGUGAAAGCCUUCUGCUUAACGGAAGAACAGCAGCUGAUACUGCAAGGCUAGAGUGCGGAAGGGGAGAGUGGAACUUCUGGUGGAGCGGUGAAAUGCGUAGAUAUCAGAAGGAACACCGGCGGCGAAGGCGACUCUCUGGUCCGUAACUGACGCUGAGUGUGCGAAAGCUAGGGGAGCAAACGGGAUUAGAUACCCCGGUAGUCCUAGCCGUAAACGAUGGGCACUAA